Numida meleagris (helmeted guineafowl) is the source of this 5263-nucleotide long non-coding RNA. RefSeq lists it as uncharacterized. NCBI's taxonomy places the organism in Eukaryota, Metazoa, Chordata, Aves, Galliformes, Numididae. The record is from RefSeq and is a predicted model, not a curated record. The transcript has 2 exons.
AAGGGUAAAGAGGCAGAGGGGGAAGAAAAAAAGUAAAGAGAAGAAGAUAUUUAAAAAACGGUUUGAUUAUAAUAAGUAUAAUAUAAUAUACAUUAAUAUUUAUAUUUUAAGAUAUUAAUAUUUUAAUAUUAACUGUAAUUAUGCAUAUUAAUUAUGAUUUAAUUAAUUUAAUGUAACAAUUAAUAAUAAAAAAAUAGGGAAAACAAAUAGGAAAGCUAACCAUAGCACAGCAAAGGAAAGCAAAGCAAAGAAGAAAAAAUGAAGAAAACUUGCAGGAAUCUAGGAAACAACACAAAGUGUUAUGAGGAAAACAAAAAUGAAAAGAAAGGAAGUGAAAAAGGCUGUGGCGAGCAGUCCAUUAGGACUGCUUACAGAACGUCCAGUGACAGAAAGAAACCCUCUGGAGCAACAAACAACACCAGAGGACUCAGAGGCAGCAGCUCCCUCCAUGUUUGGGUUCCCAUCAUGCAAGGCUUGCAUGAUGCAGGAGAUGCCUGAGAAAAGUUCUGCCCCUGCUUGCCACAGGACCUCCGCAGAAGGAGAACAAUCUUGGCCAAAGGGUGGAUGGUAUCACAGUAUGAAUGAAGGUCAGCGUAGGAGCAGCUGCUGAUGGGAGGAAGGAAGUCCAGGCUAAUGAACUCUGAAGCAUCUCCCAGUAAAGUACCAGAGGGGGCAGGAAUGAUGUUGCAGAAGAACAUGAGAAGCUCCCCAGCAGGAAGCCACAAACCCUGCAGAAACCUGCAGGAGAGUUGGAGCAUGUGUGGAUGCCCUGGAGGAAAUCCAGCCCCAGUGUUUGAGCAGCGCAUGGCCAUGGAGUGCUGCGGCCCGAGAACAGAGCUAUUCUGACUUUGCCAAGCUGGCUUCCUGAGAGGGACUUGUCUGUCCGCAUAAAAACCAGAGGGCUGGUGUGGGAAUACAAGAAAGACUGUUCAGAGCAGAAGCUGCAAAGCAAGAUAAACAGCAUGAGAAAGCAAGGCUGAGAACCAAGGACAUCUCCAGAAUACAUGGAAAAAGUAACUACAGUUUAGCAACAAUUGUAAGGGAUUGUAACCAUUUGUGCCCACCGUGACUGUGAACUGCAUGCUCUGCAGAUGUAUCUUCAGGAUACAGAAAACAGUGGAAAAAUACCAGGUUAAGGCAGUGUGGGUAUAAAAGUCUGUAGAUGAAGAUAAUAAAGGACUCUGCUAUGCAUCCACAUUAGUGUCCAUGAUUUAAUUGCCACAAAUGACGCCCUGAAUCAGGGACUUGAAUCAGCUUACUCGGCUGACUGGUGGCAAGCCCCACUGAACUUGAGACUGCUGAAAGGAAGCAGGAUUGACCAUACAGUAACAACAUCUCUGCUGGACAGAGGUGAGCAGUGGGGAACUAUAGGUCAUGAAAUGUCCAAGGAACAAAAAGCAAUUUAUCAGAUGACGGAGCAUAUUCUGCAGAAGCAUCACGUAAAAGUAGAUUCUGUGGAUUUGAAACGCCUUCUUGUAUGGGUUUCCAGCCAUAUAGGUGGAGUGACUAGCGUCUCCAUCUACAAAACAAACAUGUGGAACCAAGUGGGGGUGAAACUCUGGGAUACUGCUAUUAGCUCAGAUACUGCAGCACACGGUCUUUUAGGGCUGUGGAGAACUGUUUUUGAGACUUUCAAGAAACAUAUGGGUUCGGCAGGAUUGGCAGAGUCUGAGGAGCCUCUGUUAUUGGGCGCAGCCACAAAUAAUCAACAGGACAGGCCAGACAACUCGCUGGAUCCCAAGCUCAUGGACUCAGAGAAAGAACUCGAUCCCUCUCCCUCAUCGCUCACUGUGCCACAACCAUCCACCCCACCACCACUGCCUGCUGCUCCGCUUCUGCCACCUACAUGUAAUUUGAUUAAAGACAAGGAUGGUUCCCCCCCUGAAGUGCAUGAUAUGUGGUGAGCAAUCCAAAAGGAAGCAGAAUCAAGCGGGGAUCUUGAAAUGCUCCAUCGGUUGCACUCGGCACUCACAUGCCCUGUGAUAUAUGAGCCGAACAGACCCCCAAGAUGGGAGGGAAUGAGUUUCCAAGUAAUAAAGGAACUCAGGAAAACAGUUCUUGACUUUGGGCUAGGAUCUCUGCAUACGAUUACCUUCCUGGGCUCAGUAAUGAAGGGCUUUAUCCUUUGUCCAAGCGACUGCAAAACCCUGGCGCAAUUGAUCCUGACAUGUACUCAGUUUAUGAUGUGGAUGGGAUAUUGAAGAGAACCCAAUGAAAAGCAAUUGAAAAUUUGGGAAGACAGCAGGGAGAUCCUUCCCUGCUGAUGGGAGAAGACGCACUGCUAGGAGAGGGUGCUUUUGCUACCAUGGGAGCCCAAGUACAGCUCCCUGUUGCAGCCUUGGAACAGUCCAAGGAAUUAGUCCUUGGCGCUUUUAUGAAAGUCCCAGAUGCUGGAAAACUGCAGAUAUCAUUUACCAGCAUUAAACAGGGUCCUACUGAGCCCUACAUGCAGUUUAUUGACAAGCUGAAAGAUAGCCUUGACAAGCAAAUUGAGAAUGAGGAAGCACGAGAGAUACUGUUAAACAAGCUUGCGAUAGAAAAUGCAAAUGAGGAUUGCCAAAAAGUGUUUCAUCCCUUAUCUAACCCUACGCUUCUGCAAAUGCGCAACAAGAUAGGGACAAUGCACCACUAGUGUAACAUGAUGGCUUCAGCCCUUGCAGCCAUGAAAUUCAGUUUGCAAAACUGCUUUGUAUGUGGGCAGCCACAUCAUUUAUGCUGAGAUUGUCCUAAUAAAAAGGCUCCUGAUCUGCUGGAAGUAUGCCCAAGGUGUCAUAAAGGACAACAUUAUGUGGAUCAAUGCUGUUCUCACAUUAAUAAAGAUGGGCAAUCCAUUUAGGGAAACGGGGUUCGGAGUGUGCAGCAGGGGUGCGCAACGACACAAAUGGCCCCAGUGCAGGCAUUGACACCACAACCAAUCCCUAUGUCCCCAGGUUAUACACCAGGACCUGUGGCAGUGCCGGAGUGGACCUGGCCACCUCCAAACCAGUAACCCUUGACUCCACGGCAGUGCAAGUGGUGGCUACCAGGGUAAAUGGUCUAUUGGGAAAUUGACUGAGUGCUUUGCUUCUAGGGUGUUCAUCUGCCACAGUGCAAGGUCUUUUUGUGUCACCAGGUCUCACAGAUGCUGAUUAUACUGGAGAGAGAAAAAUUAUGGUCUGGACACCAGUGCCCCCAUGUGAAGUACCAGUGGCCACUUGUAUUACUCAAUUGAUUUAUUUUCAGGCACAGUCGGUUCCGGCUGUGCCUGUGGAAAGGGUGGCUGCAGGGUUUGGAUCUACAGGGACACCCCAAAUAUUGUGGAUACAGAAGGUGUCAGAUGCUCAACCUAUGUUAACCUGUAUUCUGGAAUCAGGCACCCCCCCACAGAAAUUUGACGUUUCAGGAAUUUUAGACACAGGCGCUGAUGUGACUGUGAUUGCUCAAGAUGCCUGGCCAUCACACUGGCCCACUAUACGAGUGCACACAGCACUUGCUGGCAUAGGGAGGCAGUCUCUUCCUUUGCAAAGCUCACACAUAAUUCGAGUAGUGGGUCCAGAAGGGAGAAGAGCUUGCAUCCAUCCAUAUAUUCUUCAAGCCCCAUUAACUCUCUAGGGUAGGGUUGUCUUUCACAGUGGGGAACCAGUAUUGGGUCAAAUUUCUCCUGGGGCAACUGAAGUGCAGCAAACCCCAUCACUCACAUGGAAGACAAAAGAUCCUGUAUGGGUUGAUCAGUGGCCCCUCAGUAGUGAGAAGCUGCAUCAUUUACGUAAUUUAGUUCAGGAACAACUGCAGGCUGGACAUACAGUCCCCACGACUAGUCCCUGGAGCUCACCAGUGUUUGUCAUAAGAAAGUAGAGUGGAAAGUGGCAAUUAUUGCAUGACUUGCGACAAAUUAAUGCCAUGAUUGAAGAUAUGGGAGCAUUACAACCAGGACUUCCAUCCCCUUCAGUGUUACCGAAAAACUGGUGCCUAACUGUUAUUGACUUAAAAGACUGUUUUUUCACCAUCCCUCUGGAUCCCAGUGAUGCUCCCAAGCUUGCUUUCUCCCGUUCCUUCUGUACAUGCGUCUGCACCAGCAGUAUCACUGGACAGUAUUACCCCAAGGAACAAAAAACAGGCCCACAAUCUGUCAGUGGUUUGUUGCCAAAGCUUUAACCCCUGCAAGGGAAAAACUGUCUAAUGCUGUUAUUUACCAUUACAUGGAUGACACCCUUGUGGCAACCAGGUCACCUGAAGAAAUGCGACAUGCCAUGGCUGCAGUCAUUAACAACAUUAAAAGCUGUAGCUUAGAGGUAGCACCAGAAAAAGUUCAAAAGAGUUUACCAUGGAUGUAUUUAGGAUGGCGAAUUACAAAUCAGACUAUUGCUCCACAGUGCCUUAAAAUAAAUUCAGAAAUCCAAACUCUAUAUGAUAUGCAAAGGCUGCUAGGAACUAUAAAUUGGGUCAGGCCUUUACUAGGAAUAUCUAAUGAAACUUUACACCCAUUUUUUCAAUUGCUGAAGAGCAAUUCAGCUUUGAAUUCAAAAAGAUCACAGACACAUGCAGCGCAGAAAGCCCUGCAGCAGGUUGCCACAAAGAGACAAGCUCAGCAAUAGGACCCUGCCCUUCCAUUUCAAUUAAUAGUAUUGAACCCAGAUUUCCAGGCUUAUGCUCUUCUCUUUCAGUGGGAUAAUGACUUGAAUGAUUCUCUUUUAAUAUUGGAAUGGAUCUUUCUGCCUGAUCAGUUUUCUGAAACAAUUACUGCAAAAGUUGAAAUGAUCUCUGCUCUCAUUAUGCGAGGAAGACAAAAGUUGUUGUCGCUGAGCAGGUCCGAACCAUUGGUGGUUACGUUACCUAUGUCUACAAACAUGUUACAAUGGUUGUUCUAAUGUUCAUUUCCUUUUCAUGUGACAAUGGAGGGAUUCGCCAGGGUGACAUCAAUACACACACUGGGGCAUAAAUUGCUACAAACACAUUUUAAUAUAUAGGAAGUCCCCAAAAGUUCUUCAGUGCCUUUAGAUGCCUUGACUGUAUUCACAGAUGGGUCAGGGAAAACAGGUCAAUCAGUAAUUGUAUGGCAGGACUAGCCUAGCCAAUGGCAAUCAGAUAUUCAAACAAUAAAGGGAUCUCUGCAAUUUUAGAACUAGCUGCCGUAGUAAGAACGUUUCAAAAGUGGUCUAGUCCUAUUAAUAUCAUCACUGAUUCAGCUUAUGUUACAGGAAUAGUGACUAGAAUAGAAGGAUCAUAUUUAAAAGAUGUUUCCAGUGGACAACUGUUGAUGCUUCUGUAUACUCUUCUGUCUCUA